RNAcentral lists this transfer RNA (82 nucleotides) under Enterocloster aldenensis. RNAcentral's name for it is "[Clostridium] aldenense tRNA-Leu". It matches the Rfam family "tRNA". Rfam says of the family: Transfer RNA (tRNA) molecules are approximately 80 nucleotides in length. Lineage: Bacteria; Bacillati; Bacillota; Clostridia; Lachnospirales; Lachnospiraceae. The record is from RNAcentral.
GCUCGCAUGGCGGAACAGGAAGACGCAUGGGACUUAAAAUCCCAGGAAGAAAUUCGUGAGGGUUCGAUUCCCUCUGUGAGUA